This is a long non-coding RNA of Dendrobium catenatum, 469 nucleotides long. RefSeq lists it as uncharacterized. NCBI's taxonomy places the organism in Eukaryota, Viridiplantae, Streptophyta, Magnoliopsida, Asparagales, Orchidaceae. The transcript is spliced from 2 exons. The record is from RefSeq and is a predicted model, not a curated record.
UUGUUGCUGAUAUUUCACUAAUUUCUUGCAAGAUUUCAAAUCUUGGUAACUAUUUCAUCAUUGUUUGAAAUAAAAGAAAUGUGUCAACUGUUUCAAAUUAAAAGUGACUGGUUUUUUCUGAAGUUCAGAGUUGGUAAUCCAUAUCAUCCUAAGUUUUUCCAUCUUCAUUCCUAACUUAGGAUUUCUUCCAUGCAAUUGUCCAAAUCCCACUAUAUACUUACAUCAACAUAUAUUUCGGCUAUUUCCUUUAGUGGUUGUUCAAUAGCUCGCAUGCUUGAUUGCAGGAGGAAUCCCAACUAGCAAAGAUAACUCGUGAUAGCUCAAAAAUUACCGUUGAGCAGGUCCAUGGCCUCAUGUCCCAGGUUAUCAAGGACAUGCUAUUCAACUCUGUGCGGCAGUCCAGAAAAGCUUCUGCAAACCAUGAUUCCUCUGGACCUGAACCAAUGGUUGAAGCUUAAAUUGAAAAAAA